This 73-nucleotide transfer RNA is filed under the name Cricetulus griseus (Chinese hamster). It matches the Rfam family "tRNA". From Rfam's summary of the family: Transfer RNA (tRNA) molecules are approximately 80 nucleotides in length. The record is from Rfam by way of RNAcentral. Lineage: Eukaryota; Metazoa; Chordata; Mammalia; Rodentia; Cricetidae.
AACUGGCUAGCUCAGUCAGUAGAGCAUGAGACUCUUAAUCUCAGAGUCAUGGGUUUGUGCCCCACGCUGCUGG